AAAGUCCCAAGGAUAUUUUAGAAAGUUCUGACUUUGAUGUUAACGAAAAGGUGUACAAAUCCCAACGGUACAACAUUACUCAACCCAAGUCCGAAGAAAUCCGCAAAGUUCUCCGUGAUCCCAGCAAGAAGAUAUUCCGUCGAAUACGUCUUCAAAAUCCUUAGUCCAACCUACGUCAGCCAACCAACCAACAAGAUUAACCCAUACGCCUCCUCUCGCCGCUUGGAAGAAGGCUGUGGCUGACCCAAAUUAGAACAUAAUUUAUUAACGAUUUUUUUGUUUUAAAUUGAGAGUUGUCUUGUUGAAAUGUUUGCAUUGCUUUUUGUUUUACAAAAUCUUUAGUAUUAUUUGUCACGCGACAUAUUUUUCCGUCAUAUUUGUAAUACCGAAUAGUCCAAUAAAUUCAAAUUAAAAUUUCAUAAACUAUAAAGAA
Molecule: long non-coding RNA, 433 nt
Organism: Calliphora vicina (urban bluebottle blowfly)
Lineage: Eukaryota; Metazoa; Arthropoda; Insecta; Diptera; Calliphoridae
Exons: 2
Source: RefSeq, a predicted model, not a curated record